RNAcentral lists this ribosomal RNA (323 nucleotides) under uncultured Sandonidae. Its description in RNAcentral is "SSU rRNA". The stretch from base 113 to 323 matches the Rfam family "Eukaryotic small subunit ribosomal RNA", at positions 744 to 955 of the family's 1831-position model. The record is from RNAcentral. Lineage: Eukaryota; Cercozoa; Glissomonadida; Viridiraptoridae.
GAUUUCUGGCUUGAAGCAGUUUGCCGGCCACGGUUUCGUGUGUCAGUGCUUGCUGUUCUGGCCAUCCUUCCAAUGGCUGCGCGUGCGUUCUUCAUUGAUUGGUGAGUGGUAUUGGAUCUUUUACUUUGAAAAAAUUAGAGUGUUUCAAGCAGGCUUUAUGCUAUGAAUACAUUAGCAUGGAAUAAUAAUUUAGGACUUCGGUUCUAUUUUGUUGGUUUCUAGGACUGAAGUAAUGAUUGAUAGGGACAGUUGGGGGUGCUAGUAUUCAGCGGCCAGAGGUGAAAUUCUCGGAUUCGCUGAAGACUAACUUAUGCGAAAGCAUU